This 813-nucleotide ribosomal RNA is filed under the name uncultured bacterium. RNAcentral describes it as "bacterial SSU rRNA". It matches the Rfam family "Bacterial small subunit ribosomal RNA", at positions 52 to 855 of the family's 1533-position model. The record is from RNAcentral.
CACAUGCAAGUCGAGGGGAAACGACAUCGAAAGCUUGCUUUUGAUGGGUGUCGACCGGCGCACGGGUGAGUAACGCGUAUCCAACCUGCCCACCACAUGGGGAUAACCUUGCGAAAGUAAGACUAAUACCCAAUGAUAUCUCUAGAAGACAUCUGAAAGAGAUUAAAGAUUUAUCGGUGAUGGAUGGGGAUGCGUCUGAUUAGCUUGUUGGCGGGGUAACGGCCCACCAAGGCGACGAUCAGUAGGGGUUCUGAGAGGAAGGUCCCCCACAUUGGAACUGAGACACGGUCCAAACUCCUACGGGAGGCAGCAGUGAGGAGUAUUGGUCAAUGGACGAGAGUCUGAACCAGCCAAGUAGCGUGCAGGAUGACGGCCCUGUGGGUUGUAAACUGCUUUUAUAAGGGAAUAAAGUGAGUCUCGUGAGACUUUUUGCAUGUACCUUAUGAAUAAGGACCGGCUAAUUCCGUGCCAGCAGCCGCGGUAACACGGAAGGUCCGGGCGUUAUCCGGAUUUAUUGGGUUUAAAGGGAGCGUAGGCCGGAGAUUAAGCGUGUUGUGAAAUGUAGACGCUCAACGUCUGCACUGCAGCGCGAACUGGUUUCCUUGAGUACGCACAAAGUGGGCGGAAUUCGUGGUGUAGCGGUGAAAUGCUUAGAUAUCACGAAGAACUCCGAUUGCGAAGGCAGCUCACUGGAGCGCAACUGACGCUGAAGCUCGAAAGUGCGGGUAUCGAACAGGAUUAGAUACCCUGGUAGUCCGCACGGUAAACGAUGGAUGCCCGCUGUUGGUCUGAAUAGGUCAGCGGCCAAGCGAA